AAUCAACGUUGGCGGCGCGCCUAACACAUGCAAGUCGAACGAGAAAGUGGAGCAAUCCAUGAGUACAGUGGCGUACGGGUGAGUAACACGUGGGUAAUCUGCCUGUUAGUGGGGAAUAACCCUGGGAAACCGGGGCUAAUACCGCAUAAGUUUGUAAGAAGAAAGUCGCAAGACGCUGACAGAGGAGCCCGCGGCCGAUUAGCUAGUUGGCAGGGUAAAAGCCUACCAAGGCGACGAUCGGUAGCCGGCCUGAGAGGGCACACGGCCACACUGGCACUGAAACACGGGCCAGACUCCUACGGGAGGCAGCAGUGGGGAAUCUUGCACAAUGGGGGGAAACCCUGAUGCAGCGACGCCGCGUGAGUGAUGAAGCCCUUCGGGGUGUAAAGCUCUUUCGACGGGAACGAUUAUGACGGUACCCGGAGAAGAAGCUGCGGCUAACUACGUGCCAGCAGCCGCGGU
RNAcentral lists this ribosomal RNA (462 nucleotides) under uncultured bacterium. Its description in RNAcentral is "bacterial SSU rRNA". It matches the Rfam family "Bacterial small subunit ribosomal RNA", at positions 32 to 521 of the family's 1533-position model. The record is from RNAcentral.